GAUGAACGCUGGCGGCGUGCCUAAUACAUGCCAGUCGAGCGAACAGACGAGGAGCUUGCUCCUUUGACGUUAGCGGCGGACGGGUGAGUAACACGUAGGUAACCUACCUAUAAGACUGGGAUAACUUCGGGAAACCGGAGCUAAUACCGGAUAAUAUUUCGAACCGCAUGGUUCGAUAGUGAAAGAUGGCUUUGCUAUCACUUAUAGAUGGACCUGCGCCGUAUUAGCUAGUUGGUAAGGUAACGGCUUACCAAGGCAACGAUACGUAGCCGACCUGAGAGGGUGAUCGGCCACACUGGAACUGAGACACGGUCCAGACUCCUACGGGGGGCAGCAGUAGGGAAUCUUCCGCAAUGGGCGAAAGCCUGACGGAGCAACGCCGCGUGAGUGAUGAAGGUCUUCGGAUCGUAAAACUCUGUUAUUAGGGAAGAACAAACGUGUAAGUAACUGUGCACGUCUUGACGGUACCUAAUCAGAAAGCCACGGCUAACUACGUG
This 497-nucleotide ribosomal RNA is filed under the name uncultured bacterium. RNAcentral describes it as "partial 16S ribosomal RNA". It matches the Rfam family "Bacterial small subunit ribosomal RNA", at positions 28 to 507 of the family's 1533-position model. The record is from RNAcentral.